GUGCUAGCUUUGGCAGUACAUAUACUAAAACUGGAACAAUACAGAGAAGAUUAGCAUGGCCCCUGCACAAGGAUGGCAGGCAAAUUCAUCAAAUGUUCCAUAUUUUU
Molecule: small nuclear RNA, 107 nt
Organism: Phyllostomus discolor (pale spear-nosed bat)
Lineage: Eukaryota; Metazoa; Chordata; Mammalia; Chiroptera; Phyllostomidae
Source: RefSeq, a predicted model, not a curated record